This 8056-nucleotide long non-coding RNA is filed under the name Triticum aestivum (bread wheat). Its description in RNAcentral is "long non-coding RNA (TAES_LNC001793)". Lineage: Eukaryota; Viridiplantae; Streptophyta; Magnoliopsida; Poales; Poaceae. The record is from RNAcentral.
UUUUUUUAAGUCAAACUUCACAAAUUGAUCAAGUUUGUUUCUGGAAAAUAAUAUUUACAUCUAGAAUGCCAAAUAUAUACCUUUAGAUUCAUAAUGAGUUGCAGCUUCGUAUUCUAUAUAUAUUUGAUAUUAUAGGAAAAAUAGUUUUCUUUACAACUUGAUCAAAGUUUGCAAUAUUUGACUUUGCAAAAAAUCUGUACGCACUACAUUAUGAAAAUGGAUGAAGUACUUCAUAGGGCGAUGCUCCGUGCUGGUCAACUCACGCGAGCUCCGGACCAGCCACAUCCAAACCGCUUGAUGUGUUCCUCUUAGCCGCGACCCUCUUGCAAAACGAGAGACGCGUGUGGUCAACCCUCUACCCCUGUGCGAGUUGGAGGAUGGACGGUUGCGCGUUGGUCGGUAGCACCACGUCGUGCCUGGCCACAGCUCGAUUGCAACUUUGUUGCCCCUUUCCUGCGGGUGGUAUUGAUGUUGCUCGGCCAUCGUUGUCGUCGGAGCACCAACGCAUCUCUGGUUGUUUGUGGUUCUAGCUCGCCCCCCAUCCCCCUAUCGCAACACCCAUGUUCACCAUCGCUGGUUACAACAACGAUGCUCUCUGGUUCAACAAUCGGGUGUCACCGUCUAGUUGCAGCUCCUAGUGAUUCCCAUCGUAGCAUCGCGGUGACCCAUUGCAGCAUCUCGACAUCAACAUCGUGGCAUCCACGGACGCUAGUCGUAACUUCGACUCCCUCAUCGCAGCCUGCCAUCUCGUCGGUUCUAGCAAAAAAAUCGAAGCAAAAUGAUUGUAGCUUCCAUGGGAGCCGAUUGCAACUUUCCCUUCCUCCUCACUGGGCACUGACGUAGCUUAUGCAAGCGCCGGUUGCAGCUUUCGCCAUCGUUGGUUUCAACGGUGGUGGACAGUAGCUUAGCAUGGUGCGGCUGCACACCCCGGCGGGCAUGGAGGCACUCGCGGCGGAGAUCAACGGUGAGAUGCCCAUUGUAGCUUCCACGGGAGUUAAUUGCAGCUUUCCCUUCCUCCUCACUGGGCACUAUCGUAGCUUAUGCAGGCGCCGGUUGCAGCUUUCUUCAUCGCUGGUUUCAGCAGUGGUGGACAGUAGCUUAGGAUGGUGCAGCUGCACACCCCGGCGGGCAUGGAGGCACUCGUGGCGGAGAUCAGCAGUGAGGAUGCACAUUGUAGCUACCACGAGAGUUGAUUGCAGUUUUCCCUUCCUCCUCACCAGGCACUAUCAUAGCUUAUGCAGGCGCCGGUUGCAACUUUCGCCAUCGCUGGUUCCACUGGCUAGUCUGUAGGCUGCUUUCUUCUCUUUGGCCUGCCCAUCUUUUGGUGACAAGCUCCGCCACUUGCUGGUUCUAGCAAUGGUGGACCGUAGCUUAGCAUGGUGCAAGUGCACACCCCGGCCGGCAUGGAGGCACUCAUGGCGGAGAUCAACGGUGAGUAUGCACACUUCAGCAGGCAUGGAGGCACUCGUGGCAGAGAUCAACGGUGAGGAGCCGAGAGAGAAUGGUGACAAACGUGAGUUCAAAAAUAGGGGCAGGGCUCGCCAAGAAACGAGACGAGCCAGAGAGGAUGGCGAAGCAAGCGUGAGUUAGCAAAGGGGGACAGGGGAGGAGCUCGCCAAGAAACGAGACAAGCCAAGAGAGGAUGGGUUGGAGGUGGCCAGUAGGGAGCUCGCCAAGAAACAAGCAUCCAAGCAGAGGAGCUGAGUGAGGAUGGCGACGAGCGUGCGACCAAGAGAUGAGGACGAGCAAGCGACCGGCGCUACAAUCGACCGAUGUGAAUCGUUUUCCUUCAUGUGGUCACUCGAACAAGCUGACCUAAUUUUAACAGUCGGUACGGUAACAAUGAAAAUGGCUUGUACACAUUCCUUCAAAGCUCGCAGAAAACAAGAUAACAACCUUUUAGGCAAGCAGACUCAUUUCAGAUAAUUUGCAACCAGGUACGACUCUAAAUAGGUUUCAACAGCUAAAUCACAAUAACAGUAGCACAUGACACGAAGAAUUCAUAGAUGAGCCAGAUUCUGAAAACAUCACCUAGUACAAAACUUAGGCAGGGGAAGUAACCAAGUAUCACAUGUUCGUUUUGACAAAAUGAUACAACUGAUGAUGCGGGGCAGCAGCUCAAGCCUUGAGCUUGCCGUAGAACCUCUGCUUCUCGUCCGUGGUCUGGAAGCGACCGUGCCCAAACUUGGAAGAGGUGUCGACGAACUUGAGCUUGAUCUCCUCCAGGGCCAGACGAGAGGUCUGCUUCAGCAGGGACUGGCGGAGGGUCACCACCCGCUUCUUGGGGCCGACACAGCAUCCCUUGAUCAUCAGGUAGUCAGCCUUCACCACACCAUAGUGAGGGAAGCCACCCAUGGGAGUGAUGUCCUUCUCAGUCCUGUAAGAUCAAACCAGUGCAAAUGGAUCAUCACCAGAUACAAUUCAGACCAGAAAGUACAUAGAUGACAAACUAACACUAACAAAACAAAAACACACCUGUCGAACUCGGUAGAGGCAUCAUGAGUUUCCUGUCCAACCUUGCCAAUCUUGUAGACCUUCUUGUUCAUCUCAGUUCGGUGGUGGUAACCAUUCUGACCAGCACGAGCAACAGUGUAGGACACCCUAGCAGGAUGCCAGGCACCAAUACAGGCAACCUUGCGAAGACCUCUGUGGGUCUUGCGGGGAAGACGGGUGACACCCCAACGUGUCACAACACCUUCGUAACCCUUACCCUUGGUAACUCCAAUGAUGUCAAUCAUCUCAUCCUUUUGAAACACAGCAUCAAUAGGGACUUCCUUCUCAAAGAAGCUGUAACCAUAGUCAACCUUAUCGGCGAUGGUGCCACCAUUGAUCUGGAUCUCCAUGAGGUGAGCCUUCUUCUGCUUCAAUCCCUUCAUCUUCCUGAUCUGAAUCACAUGAAAAGCAACAUGAGUAACAUUACUGUGAACAACAAGGGCAAAAGAUAGAAAGUACCAAGACAAUUUCUGACCUGGGUAUGGGCGAUAACACGGACAACAGUAGCAUACUUCUUCAUCUUCUCAAGCUGCAUAUGGAUUUCUUUUUUGCCAGCAUCACUGUCAUACUUCAGAGCAUACUUGGUGAAGGCCUUCUUCUUGCUCUUGCACCAGUUCUUGUAGAACCUCCUCCUGACAUCUUCGCUGAGAUGCUGUGCCCAGACUGAGUUGAGAGUACGAAGGCCACGAGGAGUCUUCACAUAGGCAACAAGUCCAACAAUAACAAUCGGGGGUGUCUCAACAAUGGUGACAGCCUCACAUGUCUCCUUCUUGUGCAGCUCUGUGGAAUAUCAAAUGGAGUGUUAUCACACAUAUGCAACAGCCAUUUACAAAUUCAAAUAGAGUCAACAGAUUCAUGAUUCAACUUCUGUAACGAUAGAGGGCAUUGCAACAGCAAUAAUGGUGGGAAGGAAUCAAUUGAGUAAAACAAGAAUAUGAACAUAGACAGAGAGUUAGUAAACAUACUGGAACCAGGCUUCUCGACCUCACGCACAAUGUGAGUCAUCCCAGAUUUGUAGCCAAGGAAGGCAGUGAGGUGGCAUUUCUUGGAUUGGUCAUCUCUGGGGAAGGCCUUCACUGCAAUUAAGACAGGCAAAUAUUAGAUUGACAUACCAAGAUCAAUGGAAUGUCAAAUUUUCGCAAUGACUGGAAGCAGCAUUAAAAUAUCAAACAGGCAGUGUUCCACAUGCCACUGAUGUAAUCACAGGAAAAGCUAAAAACACUACGAAUUUGAAAGUAAGCAAUUUACUAAAGUAUACAUUUGCUGAAAGUGCAUCAAGUGUUUGGCAUCUCUCAAGACUAGCAAAAAUUGACUGAAAACUGGUGCACACAUGCAAGUGUAAUCUAUUAUAAAUGUUAUCAAGUGUUCCUUACAUAGACAUGAAAAACAGCAUCACAGUAACAACAAAACAACCAUUGAGACGUGCAAAUCAAGGAUUACAGGUUGCACAGGAACUAAUUGAAAACUCCAACUGAGGACUAGGUCAGGAGGCAAUCUAAGGAAGCCAAAUUAUGGCGUGGAUUCCUAGUUACGAGUCUACUACUGCACACGAAAAGGUCACUAACCCAAGCAGGUUUCAACAAAAAGCGACGCACCCAAACAGUAUAUACUCACAAGCCGGCUCGCCUCACUUGAUCGACUAAACAUACAAACAGAGCAUAUCACGGCUAUCAUCUGCAGGUGGAGAGUAACUAGAGCAAGCAGGCAUACCCUUUCCGCGGUGGCGCGAGCACCGCUUCCUGGGGAGGAAACCGAGGGAUCCGUGCCUCGGGUGCUCGAACUUACGGUGCGACAUCUUCCCUUCCUUCCCCUGUGGAUAACAAAUCAGGAACCCAUCAGAUCCAGGCAGCGCAAGAGCGCAAGAGCGCAACGAAACGACCACGAGUUCACGACUUGGAAACGGCGGCGGCAGAGCCUGGCGGCAACGAAAUGCCCGCCGCCGUCGACGGUGAGAAGGGAGCAGAGACGAGGGAAAGGGAGGAGGCGGCGCAGUUUACCUGUAGAGGUGGAGGCGGCGGCGGAUGGGGGAGGGUGGUGUGUGUGGAGGAGGAGGGCACGUAAACCCUAGGAGAGCUUAUAUAAAGAGGGACCCCGGGGUGAGGGUUUUGUUCGGUCGGACGGAAAUGCCCCUUGCGGAUCUUGCUAGGGCUAAUGAGGCCUGGCCCGUUUCUCUGCUCUACGUGUGGGUUCCGGCCCAAUGUGCGUUCCCUAGAAAAAAAAAGGUUACUCUGCUUUCUCUCCCAAAAAAUUUUUUAAGGCCUGGCUCAAGCUGGGAGGGUGGAUGGCGUAUGUCGACCCAAGCCGCGUCAGAUAGUCUGAAUUUGCCUUUAAAAAUAUCAGAUAUAUCAUUGAAGUUUUUCUUUUAUUAUGAAAAAACCUCUGAAUAUGGGGGCUUUGAAGAGUCACUUCCCAUAAAAUGCCUUCUUGGUGAAAAGAAGGGAGGGGGUCUAUGAAUGUAUAUUUCAAAGUUCAUCGAUAUUUUGUUGUUUUGUUCUUCUUUAUCCGCGUAAGUUGCAAGAGGUGUGCAAGAAGAAGACUACGUCAGUACACCUUGUAGUUUUAAAUUCUCAAUCCCCCCCCACCCCACCCCACACUAGAGCGCUCCAUAAGUGUCCUUCUUGAAAUUCCAUGUAGAUGAAGCGUUAAGAAGGCUACCGAGGAGUUUUUGAGGGGUUUGUCAAACAUGUGAGGCGUAUCACAAUGAUGCUUCGAUGACCGUCACCAGUAGUAUGAUUGAUCUCGUAACCUUUAUCCCUAGCAUAGGAGAUCAAUGGUCGCAAGUUGGUUACGAUGUCAACCUGUUAGCCAGAGUCAAAUACAUUUAGAGGGCAUUCGAUAUGGGUAUAACACGAUUCUUAUGGGAGAUCAAGUCUACCUUAAAAAAAUGAAGUGCAACAUAGAAUCCCAUGUUAUGGUUAAGCAUCACAUUUGGCUGCUUUAGUCACCGAACAUCUCCAUUGUACCUUUCAAUAUUUUGCAGUUGUAAAGCACUAACAGAGUAAUAGCUUCCAAAAUCAUCUUCCCUUUCUUUAUGUUGAGAACUUCUUCACGUCUGUAAGUUAUAUGCAGUACUAACACAAGAUGAAAAAGCAAUGUAUUCUAUUCUCAAAUGAGAGUUUUCAUUCUUGGUUACGGCUCUACAGCUACUCUUAAAUUGUGUGUCUCCUAUGGGCAUCCGUGGUGAUUUCAUUUUUCUCUUCAAAAAAUCAUGUUCGAGGGCAUUAGAACAUGCUCCCCAAUUGCUACGGAUAGCAGAUGGGACGAAAGUAGGUCAACCAGGGAAGGAGAAGGCGUGAAGGAGGAUGACAAAGGAGAGGUGAAUAUCAAGGAGGUGAAGUUGACGACGACAAAGGUGGGGAUGGCACAAUCAAUAACGAUGGAUGAGGGGUUAACGAGGUCCACGAGAGAAGAUAUGCCAAAUAUGGUGACACGGCAAGGGGAGGAAGAGGAAGGAAUUAACAGAUGUGGGAAAGAUUAGCACAAACCCAACACGAAAAAGCCUUUGUAUGUGUGUGAUUUUCAUAUGACGCUAUACUCCAGCCAUCCAUGCAUAGCAUAUAGUGCAGCACAUCCGUCGGAUUUUCAAUUGUAUCGGGAUUGAACAUGAAGUGUCGGAUGGGCGGUACCUCCAUUCCUUUAUCUAUCUGUUCUGUUUCGGCGAGUUUCUGUAUUGAAUAUAGUAGAGAACAACACAUAAAAUACCCGUGCAUUGCAACGGGGCCAAUUAACUUAAAGAGUUCAAUAUUAAUAUUCUCAUACAUAUCAAGUUACAUUGGCGACCUUUUUUACCAUCAAAUCCUCACACACACACUCUUCCUCACUCUCUCCCCCUCUCCCUCUCUCUUUCUCUAACACACACACAUAUCCAGCUUAUUGGAUACAGGACCAUAAUCCAUCUAUUUCACACACACACUAGUGCAUAACAAUAUGGAUUAUAUGUAUUAUAUUUGCCACCACAACUGAGGGAAUUAAUUUCAUGUAAAUCGGCCAGCCACAGCUCCAAGAAUACGCGAAGGAGGUGGACCGGGUCGGCAUCGGCGCCGUCCAGCGCGGGCCACGGGCCUGCUUCCAAGUGCGUCUGCACGCCGGCCACUCACGCCGGGUCCUUCAAGUGCCGCUUCCACCGCACCAACUCCGAGGGCCACGGCCAAGAAAGUCGCCCUUCUUCGCCCCUUCACCGGCCGCGGCCAACACGGUGCCGCGGCACCCGGCCUCGCCGUCCUCGUCCUCCGGCACCGUCGCGACCCAGUCACGCAGCCCAAGCAUCGGUCUCGAGAAUCAAGAACGCUCGACAAUGGAGAGGGAAGGAAGAUCAUAUACAUGUCAUAAGAAAGGGAGUUUAUUUACUGCCCCCUCUAUGUAUUGUUUCCUUUGUUUGAAGAUUGAUUACCAUCCGUGAGUUAAGAUUAAUGUGAUUGAGCGAUUUUUCUAAAAAUCAAAUAUUUGCUUUCUAAUUAACGUGAUUGAGUGAUUUAAGGUAAGGUUAAUUAAUUUAGAUUUUAUUUUUAGAGAUUGUUCGUGAUUGAUUCUACAUUACUAAAUAACUUGCGCCAGUAUGGAAAGUUCUGAUCUGUUCAGAUUUCUUUCGUUGUGUGAGAGGGUGACGUGAAAAUAAACCAAUGAGAUGGAGGGAGGGGACAAAAAAAUCUACGAAAAAAACCAACGAAGGUGGGAGAAGGUACCAAAAAAACCAUGAAAGGUGGGAAGCCGCCCUUCUUCGCCCCCUUCACCGGCCAGACCAACGCGGUACCGCGGCACCUGGCCUCGCCGUCCUCGUCCUCCGGCACCGUCGCGACCCAGUGACGCAGCCCAAGUAUCGGUCUCAAGAAUCAAGAACACUCGACAACGGAAAGGAAAGAAAAGAUCAUAUACAUGUCAUAAAAAAGGAAGUUUAUUUACUGCUCCCUCUAUGUAUUGUUUUCUUUGUUUGGAGAUUGAUCAUCAUCUGUGAGUUAAGAUAAGGUUAAUGUGAUUGAACAAUUUUUCUAAAAAUCAAAUAUUUGCUUUCUAAUAAAUGUGAUUGAGUGAUUUAAGGUAAGGUUAAUUAAUUUAGAUUUUAUUUUUAAAGAUUGUUCGUGAUUGAUUCUACAUUACUAAAUAACUUGCGCCACUAUGGAAAGUUCUGAUCUGCUCAGAUUUUUUCGUUGUGUUAGAGAGUGACGCGAAAAUAAACCAAUAAGGUGGAGAGAGGGGACAAAAAAACCAGCGAAGGUGAGAGGAGGUACCAAAAAACCAUGGAAGGUGGGACGAAAAUAAACCGUAUGAGGCUACCAACUGCUCCAUUAGGAGUAGAGAUUGUUAUAGAUGCAACUGAAAUUCGCCAUAUUACACGAAAAAUGACUUUGAUAUUACUUGGCAGAGGCAGAUCCCCAAAGAACAAAACUAUAACGGCCAGACACAAUUACAUGAAUCAAUUAUACUUAUGUGCUAUGCACUCUACACCUGAUGGCAAACACUCAUGCAACUUAAACUCCAUCUCUCAAGUCAAGAAUACCAAAACGAAAAGGAUGAUGAAAAGAACCACCAAGAAAGCUAUCAUCAUGAUCUGCCCUUUCAAGCUGGC